RNAcentral lists this ribosomal RNA (130 nucleotides) under uncultured bacterium. RNAcentral's name for it is "partial 23S ribosomal RNA". It matches the Rfam family "Bacterial large subunit ribosomal RNA", at positions 1 to 129 of the family's 2925-position model. The record is from RNAcentral.
GAUCAAGCGAAUAAGUGCAUGUGGUGGAUGCCUUGGCGAUUACAGGCGAAGAAGGACGUACAAGCCUGCGAAAAGCUCUGGGGAGCUGGCAAUGAAGCUUUGAUCCAGAGAUGUCCGAAUGGGGCAACCC